RNAcentral lists this ribosomal RNA (292 nucleotides) under uncultured bacterium. Its description in RNAcentral is "partial 16S ribosomal RNA". It matches the Rfam family "Bacterial small subunit ribosomal RNA", at positions 505 to 796 of the family's 1533-position model. The record is from RNAcentral.
GUGCCAGCAGCCGCGGUAAGACGAACCGUGCGAACGUUGUUCGGAAUCACUGGGCUUAAAGGGCGCGUAGGCGGCUUGUCAAGUCAGGGGUGAAAUCCUGCAGCUCAACUGUAGAAGUGCCUUUGAUACUGACGAGCUCGAGGGAGGUAGGGGUCGCUGGAACUUCUGGUGGAGCGGUGAAAUGCGUUGAUAUCAGAAGGAACGCCGGUGGCGAAAGCGAGCGACUGGAUCUCUUCUGACGCUGAGGCGCGAAAGCUAGGGGAGCAAACGGGAUUAGAAACCCUUGUAGUCC